Molecule: non-coding RNA, 30 nt
Filed under: Homo sapiens (human)
Lineage: Eukaryota; Metazoa; Chordata; Mammalia; Primates; Hominidae
Source: RNAcentral
GAGGUGCUGUAGGCUUGCAGGAACCCCGGU